CCUACGGGGGGCAGCAGUGAGGAAUAUUGGUCAAUGGGAGAGAUCCUGAACCAGCCAAGCCGCGUGAGGGAAGACGGCCCUAUGGGUUGUAAACCUCUUUUGUCGGAGAACAAAACCCGGGACGAGUCCCGGACUGCGUGUAUCCGAAGAAAAAGCAUCGGCUAACUCCGUGCCAGCAGCCGCGGUAAUACGUAGGGAGCGAGCGUUGUCCGGAUUUACUGGGUGUAAAGGGUGCGCAGGCGGCUCUGCAAGUCAGGCGUGAAAGCUAGGGGCGCAACCCCUAAACUGCGCUUGAAACUGGGGAG
RNAcentral lists this ribosomal RNA (305 nucleotides) under uncultured bacterium. Its description in RNAcentral is "bacterial SSU rRNA". It matches the Rfam family "Bacterial small subunit ribosomal RNA", at positions 338 to 640 of the family's 1533-position model. The record is from RNAcentral.